RNAcentral lists this long non-coding RNA (1115 nucleotides) under Mytilus galloprovincialis (Mediterranean mussel). The record is from RNAcentral. Lineage: Eukaryota; Metazoa; Mollusca; Bivalvia; Mytilida; Mytilidae.
CUAAGUUUCAAGUUGAUUGGACUUCAGCUUCAUCAAAAACUACCUUGACCAAAAACUUUAACCUGAAACUCACACUUUUAAUUUCUAUGUUCAGUGGACCAUGAAAAUGGUGUCAAAAGUCUAAUUUUGUUUUAAAAUAAGAAAAAUCAUAUCCUAAGGAACAUGUGUACUAAGUUUCAAGUUGAUUGGACUUCAGCUUCAUCAAAAACUACCUUGACCAAAAACUUCAACCUGAAGUGGGACGAACGGACGGACGGACGGACAGACGAACGGAAGGACGCACAGACCAGAAAACAUAAUGCCCCUCUACUAUUGUAGGUGGGGCAUAAAAAGGGAUACAAUGCAUUAUUAAAGCACUGAGGAUUUUAUCAACAUUUCACUAAGGUCCAGUCACUGGUUUAUGAGGAUGCUAAAUGUUGAACACUAUCUGAAGAUAUGGCAGUGUCUAUGUUGAGUUAUAGGAAACCCAAAAUAUUAUUUUCCUCUAAAAUAAAAUUCAAAUUACACAAUGUAAUAUGUAAUUUUUGCUUGAAUAUUAUCUGUGGAAUGCAAACUUUAGUUGGAUUUAGAAAAAUCCUAAAUCUUGGGAGCAUCGUUACAAAAAUUUGUCUGAUUAUAGAAUUGAUCUCUGUUGUUUGACACAUUAACCUCCAAAAGCUAGUGAACCUUGAAAUGUAGGUCAUAGGUCAUUGAAUUUUCAAUUUUUUGCAUCAGCAGAUUUUUAAAGAUACAAAUUAGCAUAAAAAUUAACAAGGUUUUACGUGUAUAUUAAUUAUCUCUAAGAACUGUAUAUGGAUCUGUAAGAAUAUAUGCAGUGAAGCACAUUAAAUAGUUCUACAAAAAAAUGUUUUAAGCAAUGAUUUAUAUGACUGCUUAUUUAUGUAUUUUGGCAAAUGUUAAAGUUGACAUUCUGGAUUUCUUAAUAACAAAUAUAGAAAGAUGGGCAUGAUAUAAACUGAAAAGCAUGAUUGUGUAGAACAUAUUUUUUGCUUACAUUAAAAAGCAAGAAAAUAUAUACAUUUAUAUUAAAGAUAACUAUAAAAAUACCUUCAUUCUUUUUCAUCAGUUUUUAUAGAUCUUAUGGUUAUUAAAAAAUCCAAUGAAAAUUCAAAUCG